ACUCAGAAUAAGAAGAAAAAAGGCAGCAGGAUGAGCCUGUCUCCAAACAGCUUUAAACCCCGUGUACGUGCGAGGAAAUCAAACGGAGAAAGUGAUACGGCUCAGGGCUUGAAAGUGAGAAGACGCGCGUGAAAUUUCACCGUGCACCAGUGCUGCGAGGGAAUGAAAGGCUCCCUCCAGAUGGCUGGCUGGCUGCCGGUUUGUGACACGGGCAGGUGAGGCAGGUGGUGAAACGCUCAGGGUGUCAGCAGCAGUUCAGUUCUCGGAAAGGUCAGAGAGCCUAAACUUGAACCCUCCGCAUUGCCACGCCUGCUGCCAACCCCUGUUUGACCCGACGUCCUGCCAAGAAACCCACUGAGGAGAGAGCUUAACCGGUUACAGCUGUGGAGUGGAUGGAGGAAGCUUCCAAGGCGGUACUCUGCCUGCGCGGAGGCUUGUUGGCCAGAGGAGCAGGUCUGUGGAGGCAAAGAAGAGCCUACAACUUAGAGCGUGUCAGAAUCCCCCUUCAAAACGUUCCUUGGCGGAUGGGAGUUUCCAUACAGAGCAUUUUCUCCUCAGAGGCAUCAACAGACCAGGAAGUGAAGACCUUCAUGGUGGACGGUUCAUGGUAGAGAAUACUCUCCAGGAUACCGUUAGGUGAAUCGACCAUCGCAGAUUCUCGAUGGAUGGUCCCACAUGGUCCUGUCAGAGGCCUGGAAUUGAGGAUAGAAGUUUUACUUUAAUAUUUAAAGUUAGUCAUUUUUAUUUGGUGUACUGCACGUCAAGUUGCAUUAGGAGUUUUUCUCUGAUUAACUAAGUACAGGCAGUCCCCAGGUUACUAAUGAGAUCCGUUCACUAAGUCUGUCUUUGAGUCAAAUUUGUAGGUAAGCUGGAGAUAUACAGUAAUAAUACAUAAUAAUAAUAAUGACUAUAGAGUAAUAAUCAAGGUAAUAACAUUAUUGCACCGAUCCUUGAGCCAAUGAACCGCUGAAGCCGCACAAUGUUUUCUCACAUGUCACAAAGUAGUGCGUGGAUUCAUUAUUAUGAACCAUUAUAUUUAACCUGAAUUUUUAAUUUACUAGUCUUUAUGGCAGCCUGUUUGUAUAGUUGUCUUUAAGUCAGUCGUCCUUAACCCUGGGGGUAGGCCUCUUCGCAGUCAUAUUUCUCUGCAUAUGCGUUUAAUUAGAAAUAUUUUUGUCAUUUUUUUUUUUAAAAAAAAGGCUGGACAGACAUUAAACUAAAUGACUUAAUUAAUAAACAUAGCUUACAUAACUAAUGGGAGUUUUUUUCAGAGUUGAUUACUAACCACGCAGAAAUUGUUGUUUCAGUACAGUGCAUUGCAGUAAUUAACGCACAUUACCUCCGAACAAUCUGAGCGUAUUAUAAAAUCUGAGUGAGUUAUAAAAAGAAAAUAGAUUGCUCUUUGCAGCAUUCUGCUAUUGUGGUUUGUGAAAUAUUUGUGUUGCUAAGCAUUUUCCACUUCAAUGUAAUAUUUUCCAGCUGAUCUACAAAUUAUGUCUUUCUCAUCCACCCUCUCUUAGGUUUAUUGAUAGCAGUCUUAAUGGGCACUAAUUACAUACUGAGUCAUAGUAAAAUAAGAACGGCCAUUACAGAGAUUCACAGUCUUCAGGAAAGUCUGUACAAAGUGUUCGAGUGAACGAUCAGCACCAAACCAAAUAGCUGUACCUUCCUGAGACCUUCAGUACACAGCUGGGUCUGCUGCUGCUAUUAAGCAAAAAAGACAGUGAGGGAGAUGUACUUUGUGAAUCAUGCUGCAGGACAGCGUACGGCUGAAAAUAUCAGUCGAGAGCCUCAAAAGCCCAUAAAUGAAAGGCCUACACUGCAACCUGACAGCUUUGAUCUAUUACAGCAACCCGCCAGUGCAGGGUGACUCCAUGACAGACGCCAAGGCCGUGAAGCCUGAUGAGAUGUCUGUGGGCACCAUUUACAGGUACAGUGCACAGCAGUUAAACCCAGAGGCAUUUUUAAAAAGGUUCCUGUUUGUUUACCAGGAGCCCCCCCCAGAGGGGAUGGGCAGGCAAAAGAAACAAUGGCAUUGUUCAUGAGCUACCUCUUGGAAGAUCAGGGUUCAUCCUGCUCAGAUCUGCACCUCUCUGACUGCAGCCCAAAUGUCAAGAGCCUUGGCGAGCUACUGAUCCGAGCAGCCGCCUUCCGGAAUGCUGCUGCUUAAUGAGCGCAAAUCCUGUCCGCUUUCAUAAAUUGUACAUGUGUUUCAUUUUACCUAAAACCGCGCCAAAAUAUAAUCAAACCAAGUGAAACAAAACAGAGUGGU
Long non-coding RNA from Brienomyrus brachyistius, 2272 nucleotides. RefSeq lists it as uncharacterized. The transcript has 3 exons. The record is from RefSeq and is a predicted model, not a curated record. NCBI's taxonomy places the organism in Eukaryota, Metazoa, Chordata, Actinopteri, Osteoglossiformes, Mormyridae.